RNAcentral lists this ribosomal RNA (472 nucleotides) under uncultured bacterium. Its description in RNAcentral is "bacterial SSU rRNA". It matches the Rfam family "Bacterial small subunit ribosomal RNA", at positions 355 to 825 of the family's 1533-position model. The record is from RNAcentral.
UGAGGAAUAUUGCGCAAUGGGGGCAACCCUGAUCCAGCGAUGCCGCGUGGGUGAAGAAGGCCUUCGGGUUGUAAAGCCCUUUAGGUCGGGAAGAAGUGUGUAGGCUGAAUAAUCCUAUGCAUUGACGGUACCGACAGAAUAAGCACCGGCAAACUCUGUGCCAGCAGCCGCGGUAAUACAGGGGGUGCGAGCGUUAAUCGGAAUUACUGGGCGUAAAGGGCGCGUAGGCGGUCGAGUAAGUCGGAUGUGAAAUCCCCGGGCUUAACCUGGGAAUUGCAUUCGAUACUGCUUGGCUAGAGUGUGGAAGAGGGAAGCGGAAUUUCCGGUGUAGCGGUGAAAUGCGUAGAUAUCGGAAGGAACACCAGUGGCGAAGGCGGCUUCCUGGUCCAACACUGACGCUGAGGCGCGAAAGCGUGGGGAGCAAACAGGAUUAGAUACCCACGUAGUCCCUGAGCGGGCUGGCAAGGCGCAU